CUUGAAAUACCACCCUUUAAUGUUUGAUGUUCUAACGUGGACCCGUAAUCCGGGUUGCGGACAGUGUCUGGUGGGUAGUUUGACUGGGGCGGUCUCCUCCUAAAGAGUAACGGAGGAGCACGAAGGUUGGCUAAUCCUGGUCGGACAUCAGGAGGUUAGUGCAAUGGCAUAAGCCAGCUUGACUGCGAGCGUGACGGCGCGAGCAGGUGCGAAAGCAGGUCAUAGUGAUCCGGUGGUUCUGAAUGGAAGGGCCAUCGCUCAACGGAUAAAAGGUACUCCGGGGAUAACAGGCUGAUACCGCCCAAGAGUUCAUAUCGACGGCGGUGUUUGGCACCUCGAUGUCGGCUCAUCACAUCCUGGGGCUGAAGUAGGUCCCAAGGGUAUGGCUGUUCGCCAUUUAAAGUGGUACGCGAGCUGGGUUUAGAACGUCGUGAGACAGUUCGGUCCCUAUCUGCCGUGGGCGCUGGAGAAUUGAGGGGGGCUGCUCCUAGUACGAGAGGACCGGAGUGGACGCAUCACUGGUGUUCGGGUUGUCAUGCCAAUGGCACUGCCCGGUAGCUAAAUGCGGAAGAGAUAAGUGCUGAAAGCAUCUAAGCACGAAACUUGCCCCGAGAUGAGUUCUCCCUGACUCCUUGAGAGUCCUGAAGGAACGUUGAAGACGACGACGUUGAUAGGCCGGGUGUGUAAGCGCAGCGAUGCGUUGAGCUAACCGGUACUAAUGAACCGUGAGGCUUAACCUU
RNAcentral lists this ribosomal RNA (740 nucleotides) under Escherichia coli. RNAcentral describes it as "partial 23S ribosomal RNA". It matches the Rfam family "Bacterial large subunit ribosomal RNA", at positions 2191 to 2925 of the family's 2925-position model. Lineage: Bacteria; Pseudomonadati; Pseudomonadota; Gammaproteobacteria; Enterobacterales; Enterobacteriaceae. The record is from RNAcentral.